Molecule: transfer RNA, 77 nt
Filed under: Synechococcus sp. CC9902
Lineage: Bacteria; Bacillati; Cyanobacteriota; Cyanophyceae; Synechococcales; Synechococcaceae
Description: tRNA-Arg
Source: RNAcentral
UGGAGGCACGCAUCAACGGCUUCGAAUCCGAGAUUGCCCUGAUGACCCUGGCCCCAGAACUGGUGGGGGCCGAUGCA